AGAGUUUGAUCAUGGCUCAGAGCGAACGCUGGCGGCAUGCCUAACACAUGCAAGUCGCACGGCCCUUUCGGGGGCAGUGGCGGACGGGUGAGUAACGCGUAGGGAUCUAUCCUGGGGUGGGGGACAACCGUUGGAAACGACGGCUAAUACCGCAUGAGGCCUGAGGGCCAAAGCUCGCGAGAGCGCCUAAGGCGGAGCCUGCGUACGAUUAGCUAGUUGGUGGGGUAAUGGCCUACCAAGGCGACGAUCGUUAGCUGGUCUGAGAGGAUGAUCAGCCACACUGGGACUGAGACACGGCCCAGACUCCUACGGGAGGCAGCAGUGGGGAAUAUUGGACAAUGGGCGCAAGCCUGAUCCAGCAAUGCCGCGUGGGUGAAGAAGGUCUUCGGAUUGUAAAGCCCUUUCGGCGGGGACGAUGAUGACGGUACCCGCAGAAGAAGCCCCGGCUAACUUCGUGCCAGCAGCCGCGGUAAUACGAAGGGGGCGAGCGUUGCUCGGAAUGACUGGGCGUAAAGGGCGCGUAGGCGGAUGGGACAGUCAGAUGUGAAAUUCCCGGGCUCAACCUGGGGGCGGCAUUUGAGACGUUUUGUCUAGAGUGAGGAAGAGGGUCGUGGAAUUCCCAGUGUAGAGGUGAAAUUCGUAGAUAUUGGGAAGAACACCGGUGGCGUAGGCGGCGACCUGGUCCUUGACUGACGCUGAGGCGCGAAAGCGUGGGGAGCAAACAGGAUUAGAUACCCUCGUAGUCC
This 746-nucleotide ribosomal RNA is filed under the name uncultured bacterium. RNAcentral describes it as "bacterial SSU rRNA". It matches the Rfam family "Bacterial small subunit ribosomal RNA", at positions 8 to 796 of the family's 1533-position model. The record is from RNAcentral.